CUGCCACUUUAAAUAAGCUUCAGGUGCUUGGUCUUCUAUUCUGGGUUAUGUCUAUUAAGUACUUCAUUUCUUAGCAUUUGCUGGAUCUAAUGAAUUUCUUGAUUUCUGAACAUAACUUAAAGAUAAAUGUGCUUGUAAGUACAAUAUUUGAGAUAUGACAGUGAUUCACUUUUUUUUUUGGGUGUGUGGACUGAAUCUGGUGUUAAUUAAUAAAUAGUAAGUUUACCUCUUGAAUUAUGUUUUGGAACUACUCAUGUUGGCUUUAUCAGCUGAUCUCAUAAUCUGAUAAAAACCUACUCUUUAGACCAGGAUAGGAUUUUGGAUAGGUAUGACUGAAGCUGACCUUGGUUAGUGAUAAUACAAUACGAAUUAAAAUAUCAAAAACAGUGUAGGAGAUAAAUAUGAAUUACUAAGGUCUGCAACUCCAGUGGAUGCAAACUUAGGUAGAAUUUGAAUAACCAAGUUGGAGAGAACUUACGUAAUUAGACUUUGAGAUAGCCACUUGACUUGUUUGAUAAGAUGAUUUAAGGAGAUACAUGUGGCACCUUCUGGGUGAGGUUGUUUGCAAGUGAACACCUCAAAACUCAUGUCCAAGACUAUAGAGCCCGUAAAAUCUCAUCUUAUGUAUGGAUCUUGGAUGACCAUAGUCUUGGUCUUGAUCAUUAAGGAAAAUUAAGUCUUGGUCUUGAUCAGUAAGGAAAUUGUAAGACAAUUACCAAUGCUAUUUGAUUUCAGUAUAAAUUAAUGUUCAGAAUGCUGAAAUGGUAUUCCUAUGUGUUUUAAAAUUGAAAAUGAAAAGGAAAUAAAAAAGGAAAAAGAAAAAAAAAAAGCUAAGAGAAGUCAGAGACUGCUAGCAAAACUGGAUCUUCCACAGCUUGACCGAGCAACAGGAAGAGGAAUUCUUAUACACUAAUAUCUUUUAUAAAACCCAUGGUUGUUAGGUGAGAAAAUUUUAGAAUGCAAGAGAAUCUUCAAUGUUGUUUACUGAAAACUGCUGAGCUGACCUGGCUAACAUUUUAUGGUCCUAAAAGGAGCAAGUUGUUAGUUACUGGAAUCAUGUUCUUGGUGCACUAAAAUCAAGGUGAAUGUAUUAGUAUUUAUUGUAGAAAUUUGUACAUGAGUGAAGAACAUUAUAAUGUUAGAAUUAUUCAUCUUUGAUCAUUUGCUUCAUUGCAGUUUAUUUUUCAUUCCACAAGCUUGAUUUUAUCUCUUUGGUUUCAAUGUUCUCCAUGAAACCUGAAGACUAAUGUUGUGAAACUCUUUUAUUGAUUUACACAAGAUUUGAUUGUUAACACUUGUGCAGUUGUGCUUCAUGUGAUACAGCAUUUAAAUAAUAUUCUUCAUAUGCAGUUGGCAAGUGUGAAGAAGUCUACAAAUAAUUUCUUUCCCUGGUUUGUUAUAUUGGGGUAUUAACUAAUCUACAGACAUUUAAAACUAGCAAAUAAAUUUUGCCUCUUUGUUUAAUGUGACAGGCUAGGCGGAUAA
RNAcentral lists this unclassified non-coding RNA (1485 nucleotides) under Hevea brasiliensis (rubber tree). The record is from RNAcentral. Lineage: Eukaryota; Viridiplantae; Streptophyta; Magnoliopsida; Malpighiales; Euphorbiaceae.